RNAcentral lists this ribosomal RNA (271 nucleotides) under Clostridioides difficile. Its description in RNAcentral is "partial 23S ribosomal RNA". It matches the Rfam family "Bacterial large subunit ribosomal RNA", at positions 1683 to 1965 of the family's 2925-position model. Lineage: Bacteria; Bacillati; Bacillota; Clostridia; Peptostreptococcales; Peptostreptococcaceae. The record is from RNAcentral.
AAGGCCAGCGAGAGAACUGUUGUUAAGGAACUCGGCAAAAUGACCCCGUAACUUAGGGAUAAGGGGUGCCACCAUCAGGUGGCCGCAGAGAAUAGGCCCAAGCGACUGUUUACCAAAAACAUAGGUUGCUGCUAAGUCGCAAGACGAUGUAGAGGAGCUGACGCCUGCCCGGUGCUGGAAGGUUAAGGGGAUCUGUUAGAGCAAUCGAAGCAGUGAACUUAAGCCCCAGUAAACGGCGGCCGUAACUAUAACGGUCCUAAGGUAGCGAAAU